UACGUAGGGGGCGAGCGUUGUCCGGAUUUAUUGGGCGUAAAGAGCUCGUAGGCGGUUCGAUAAGUCGGACGUGAAAUCUCCACGCUCAACGUGGAGGGGCCGUUCGAUACUGUCGUGACUCGAGUCCGGUAGGGGAGUGUGGAAUUCCCGGUGUAGCGGUGAAAUGCGCAGAGAUCGGGAGGAAUACCCGUAGCGAAGGCGGCACUCUGGGCCGGUACUGACGCUGAGGCGCGAAAGCGUGGGGAGCAAACAGG
This 254-nucleotide ribosomal RNA is filed under the name uncultured bacterium. Its description in RNAcentral is "partial 16S ribosomal RNA". It matches the Rfam family "Bacterial small subunit ribosomal RNA", at positions 524 to 776 of the family's 1533-position model. The record is from RNAcentral.